This 1468-nucleotide ribosomal RNA is filed under the name Reticulamoeba minor. RNAcentral's name for it is "bacterial SSU rRNA". It matches the Rfam family "Eukaryotic small subunit ribosomal RNA", at positions 553 to 1819 of the family's 1831-position model. Lineage: Eukaryota; Cercozoa. The record is from RNAcentral.
GAGGGMAAGYCUGGUGCCAGCAGCCGCGGUAAUUCCAGCUCCAGUAGCGUAUAUUAAAGUUGUUGCAGUUAAAAAGCUCGUAGUUGGAUUUGUGGUGUGUUCAUUUGUGUGGCUCUCAACUCAGCUUCGGCUUAUUGUCGUUGUUGGUGUUGUUGCUACCAACACAUCAUCCUUGAUGGGAUUUAGAGUCAUUUCGACUUUUUAUUCUCAUCAUCCUUUACUUUGAAAAAAUUGGAGUGAUUCAAGCAGGCGAAAUACAACUCAUUUUACGUGAGUUAUUCAUUUUUGCUUCUGCACAUGUUAGCAUGGAAUAAUGCAAGAGGACUUGGGUUUUCCCUUUCAUUGGUUUCAGGAAUCCGAGUAAUGAUUGAUAGGGACAGUUGGGGGUGCUCAUAUUCGACGGCCAGAGGUGAAAUUCUUGGAUUCGUUGAGGAUGAACAACUGCGAAAGCAUUCACCAAGGAUGUCUUCUUUAAUCAAGAACGAAAGUUGGGGGAUCGAAGAUGAUCAGAUACCGUCGUAGUCCCAACCAUAAACGAUGCCGACCAGGGAUCAGCGAGCGUUGACUUUGCAUAUUUUUUAAUUUCGAUUAUGAAUAUUGCAAAUCUCAUUUAUUUGAAACGACCUCGUUGGCACCUUGCGAGAAAUCACCAGUCUUUGGGCUCCGGGGGGAGUAUGGUCGCAAGGCUGAAACUUAAAGGAAUUGACGGAAGGGCACAACCAGCAGUGGAGCCUGCGGUUUAAAUUGACUCAACACGGGGAAACUUACCAGGUCCAGACAUCAUAAGGAUUGACAGAUUGAAGAUCUUUCUUGAUUUGAUGGUUGGUGGUGCAUGGCCGUUCUUAGUUGGUGGAGUGAUUUGUCUGGUUAAUUCCGUUAACGAACGAGACCUCAACCUGCCAAAUAGGUUGGUGGAUUGUAAUGAUAUUUUAUUUUUUAUGAUUCACGUUGUGGUUUGUAUUUUUGGUUAAUUUUGAUUAAAGAUGCACCCAACUAAAUGGGAUUAACAUUUUUGUUUUUCUUUAUUUACAACACUUCUUGGAGGGACUAUCAGUUCGCAUCUGAUGGAGGUUUGAGGCAAUAACAGGUCUGUGAUGCCCUUCGAUGUCCUGGGCUACACGCGCGCUACACUGAUACAUGCAUCAAGCAGUUCAUUGAAAAAACGGACUUUUUGUUUGUUUUUGACACCUUUGCUGAUAGGCUUGGGGAAUCUUUGAACUUGUAUCGUGAUGGGGAUAGAUGAUUGCAAUUAUUCAUCUUCAACGAGGAAUUCCUAGUAAACGCGGCUCAUCAAGCCGCAUUGAAUACGUCCCUGCCCUUUGUACACACCGCCCGUCGCUGCUACCGAUUGAAUGGUUCAGCAAGCUCUACAGACUGGCUGCCUUUCUUGUCUUUUAUCGGAUGGGAACUUGGUGCCGGGAAGUGGCGCAAACUUGACCAUUUAGAGGAAGCAAAAGUCGUAACAAGG